Papaver somniferum (opium poppy) is the source of this 2283-nucleotide long non-coding RNA. RefSeq lists it as uncharacterized. The record is from RefSeq and is a predicted model, not a curated record. The transcript is spliced from 6 exons. NCBI's taxonomy places the organism in Eukaryota, Viridiplantae, Streptophyta, Magnoliopsida, Ranunculales, Papaveraceae.
UGUGCUUCUUUAUGUGUGAUACAAGUUCUUAUAAUAGAUCCAUAUUUAUACGUCUUAGUUGAAUCAGAAAGACGGUUGAGAAGGAUGGAAGAAGAAGGUAAACAUACGGAUCCACAUAAACCCUAGAAUCUUACCUUGAAUGUCUCUAAUUAACUUGAAAGAUCAAUUUGGUGGAUCGCCAAUUACAAGUCUGAGACUGGAGAUACUAGAGUUUUCAUAGCUCGGGUGACGAAUCAUACUGGGGUGUUAUUUAAAAAACUUAUAUGGAGGUUUGAACUGUUUUUCCAUGAGGAUGAUAUUAUAUCUGUUCUUGCCUCCGCGGAACCUAAAUUGCACCCUGCAAAGGGUGAAUACCUGGAUAUUUCAAAUAUUAUGCGGAGGUUAAGCUUUCUCCUGCAACUUAAAUGGAAGUCACUUGCUAUGAGUUUUCUUUUACUGAUUUUGACGAUCUGCAAUCGACCCUCAACAAUAUUUAAUUUACCCUCAACAAUAUUUAAUUUACUUUGGCGGGUUAUGUAUUCCAUCAUGUAGAGCUCAAGAACUUCUUGGAGUUUCUUUACCGGGAAAAGUUUGACUAGAGAAAAGUUUGAGAAGCCUUUUUAAUUAACUUCUGUUUAAGCUGACAAGUGUGUAAUCCCACAGUUGUAUAAGUUUUGUCAGCAACAGAUUUUAAAAGCAUUGGUUUCGUCAAAUGCACUAAAGGUUCUGGAGGUCUCAGAAAUCUGCUCAAACGAGAUAUUAAAGCUUGGUGUUUAGAGAUCAAUUCUCCAGUACAAAGACUAGCUAAUUCUGUUACCUAACCUUGAAGAAUUUGCAAAAUAGAACCAACACUUGAUGGUACAUAUCGCAAGGGCCUUGGUUAAUUUAUUUCAGUGGGGACGUGGAGUGAUGUGCGAAGGGUGUGAAGCAUGCUCCAGCCAGAACCCUCGGAACCCCAAACUCAAUUGGUUGUUUUUCUGAUUAAAUUUAGUUUCUUAUAUGUUAGCUCACCAUUGUCCACGAACCCCAAACUAAAAUCCGUUUUAUGUUUUGUUUAUUUUGUUUUAAUAUUAUUCGUUGCAGGGGUUAAUCCGUUAACUUCGAAUCACAAAGAGCGCCACGAGUUCACGGUUCUUUUCUUGAAAGCAGUUGUUACAACCAUCAGUGCUAUUGGAGGAGCUGCUACUAAUGUUUUGUUUUUUUUGAACCCUUUCUAGCAAUGACCAUUCUCAUUCGGUAAUAUCAAUUAUCACUUUUAAUUCUGUUCUUUAUACACCGCACCAAAUUGGGUUUACAAGAAAAGAAUUAUUCAAACUCAACCCAAUUUCACGCUGGUUGGAAUCCCAGAUUUUCAGAUAUCGCAAAGGAGAGAAAGGGCAUCCCAUUAGUAAGCCGGCUUGGGCCGAUUGUAGAAUGAUUGCAAAGAUCUGGCUGCUGGGAAUACAGAACUGUAACUUUAUGAAAAACAGGCUGUGUAUCAUACUAUCGGCCUGGAUAGAGAAGCUUGCAAGGCAGGGGUUUGUGGCCAUUAUAUUUAAUUAGUGGAUGUGAUGCUUCAUACUUUCUUUCUUAUCAACGGAUUUCCCACUUUCCUUAAAAGUUUGCUACAAAGGGAAUUCCAACCCUAGAUUCAGCAGUUUUACUAGAUUUGGUCUGUUUCUUAGCUCUUUGUUCCCUGAGAACUCUAACCCCAGGAUACGUUCUUUUAUCUUCUUUUUAUUUAUUUGGUUCGACUUCUCCCCCAUCCUCUUAUCUUACUCAUUGCAGAAUUUGAUGAUGAAUCACGAAUCACAGUGGUUUGUCUCAGGCACAUGGAUUCUGAUGUUGAAACGCCUGUGAUGGUACCACGUCAUCUCUUGAUUUAAAGGCUUGCAAAAAAAAAUUCCGCUGGAUAGUGACAAGUUGAUUUGGGGUGAUACCAAGGUUGCCGGCAGAUUAAUGUAAGCAAGGAAAAUCACCCAGGAUCACGAACUAAUGUCAAUCUGUAUGUCUUCAAGCCCAUCGUCGGUGGACCAAUAGAGUACGGAAUCACAAUCUGAUAUCAGUUUAUGGGCUUUAGGACAUGUGGGUGUGCAUGUGAAUCUACCAUUGGUUGGUGUUAGUGUUUAAAUCUAGAAACCUAUUUUGAGGCAUACUCAUUUUUUUUUGAGGCACACUUAUUCAUUAUAUUAUCUAGGAUGAGUUUAUAAGGGGUGUCUAAAGGUAGUGUAAUUACCUAUAUAUCCCUAAAUAAUUUCAAUUUGUCAUAGUUUUCUUAUCCUCAAAAACCUAAAAUUAAAAAUUAAAAUAAACUUUAAACUUAAA